This 376-nucleotide ribosomal RNA is filed under the name uncultured bacterium. Its description in RNAcentral is "bacterial SSU rRNA". It matches the Rfam family "Bacterial small subunit ribosomal RNA", at positions 524 to 898 of the family's 1533-position model. The record is from RNAcentral.
UACGGGGGAUGCAAGCGUUAUUCGGAAUUAUUGGGCGUAAAGGGCGCGUAGGCGGUUUUGUCGGUCAGAUGUGAAAGCCCGGGGCUCAACCCCGGACGUGCAUUUGAAACAGCAAGACUUGAGUACGGGAGAGGAAAGCGGAAUUCCUGGUGUAGAGGUGAAAUUCGUAGAUAUCAGGAGGAACACCGAUGGCGAAGGCAGCUUUCUGGACCGAUACUGACGCUGAGGCGCGAAGGCGUGGGUAGCGAACAGGAUUAGAUACCCUGGUAGUCCACGCAGUAAACGAUGUACACUCGGUGUAGCGGAUAUUAAAAUCUGCUGCGCCCAAGCUAACGCAUUAAGUGUACCGCCUGGGGAGUACGGUCGCAAGACUAAA